AUGACCAUACCAGCGCAGUCAUCUCUCUUGCACACCACAUCUGAUGCUUCUUAGGUUCAACUUUUUUCUCAAGGUACUUACACUCUGUUAAGUAUGCACACUGACAUUACACAUCCAGUGAAGCAUAUUGGCUUCGUUCCUUGCAAGCAUACGCAUGUCCUCAGCAGUCAAAGCCCAUUCAAACCAACCUCAU
Long non-coding RNA from Octopus sinensis (East Asian common octopus), 193 nucleotides. RefSeq lists it as uncharacterized. The transcript is spliced from 3 exons. The record is from RefSeq and is a predicted model, not a curated record. Lineage: Eukaryota; Metazoa; Mollusca; Cephalopoda; Octopoda; Octopodidae.